RNAcentral lists this ribosomal RNA (827 nucleotides) under Bacillus altitudinis. Its description in RNAcentral is "bacterial SSU rRNA". It matches the Rfam family "Bacterial small subunit ribosomal RNA", at positions 49 to 858 of the family's 1533-position model. Lineage: Bacteria; Bacillati; Bacillota; Bacilli; Caryophanales; Bacillaceae. The record is from RNAcentral.
UAAUACAUGCAAGUCGAGCGGACAGAAGGGAGCUUGCUCCCGGAUGUUAGCGGCGGACGGGUGAGUAACACGUGGGUAACCUGCCUGUAAGACUGGGAUAACUCCGGGAAACCGGAGCUAAUACCGGAUAGUUCCUUGAACCGCAUGGUUCAAGGAUGAAAGACGGUUUCGGCUGUCACUUACAGAUGGACCCGCGGCGCAUUAGCUAGUUGGUGAGGUAACGGCUCACCAAGGCGACGAUGCGUAGCCGACCUGAGAGGGUGAUCGGCCACACUGGGACUGAGACACGGCCCAGACUCCUACGGGAGGCAGCAGUAGGGAAUCUUCCGCAAUGGACGAAAGUCUGACGGAGCAACGCCGCGUGAGUGAUGAAGGUUUUCGGAUCGUAAAGCUCUGUUGUUAGGGAAGAACAAGUGCAAGAGUAACUGCUUGCACCUUGACGGUACCUAACCAGAAAGCCACGGCUAACUACGUGCCAGCAGCCGCGGUAAUACGUAGGUGGCAAGCGUUGUCCGGAAUUAUUGGGCGUAAAGGGCUCGCAGGCGGUUUCUUAAGUCUGAUGUGAAAGCCCCCGGCUCAACCGGGGAGGGUCAUUGGAAACUGGGAAACUUGAGUGCAGAAGAGGAGAGUGGAAUUCCACGUGUAGCGGUGAAAUGCGUAGAGAUGUGGAGGAACACCAGUGGCGAAGGCGACUCUCUGGUCUGUAACUGACGCUGAGGAGCGAAAGCGUGGGGAGCGAACAGGAUUAGAUACCCUGGUAGUCCACGCCGUAAACGAUGAGUGCUAAGUGUUAGGGGGUUUCCGCCCCUUAGUGCUGCAGCUAACGC